GAGACUGGUUUGUCUGAUGCUGCUGCCGGAGCUGAGGUCUUGCCUGGAGAUCCGAACGAGACACCACGUCAACCGGCGCGGGGAGUCCCGUGAAGACAUGAGGGCGCCAGGAGCGCAGUCACGGAAGAAUAGAAGAACAACUCAGAGGAGGAAGAAGUCAGACAUAGCCAGACACGGCUGCUAGCAGUUCCACCAAUGAAAGAGGAGACCAGGAUGUUUAAAACAGGCAAACACAAGGUGCGAAAAACCAGAAGCGAAAACUUCUGAGGUCAUUUAAGCAAGGACUAUCGUUAUCCCCGGAAGCAGAGAGAAGUUCCCUUUGCCCAACAUCACACUGCAAGCACGUGUUGGAGCUGAGAUUCAAACCCAGGCAUCCAGGGUCCAGGGCCCAUGCUUUUAAUAUAUUCCAUAUCUUAGGAGAAUUUCCCCUAUUUAAACAAUAAAAGUGCAAAAAUCUUGUGGCUAGCCAAAAUUUUCAGUUGUUUGGAAAACUUAUUUAUCCAAUAAGUGGAAAACUCACUUGUCCUCCAACAAUUCUGGAUAAAUGAAAGAACGAAUUGAACUGAGACUGGAAUCCGGGUCUCCCAGUACUUUGUAGUUCCUAUCCAUAUGGCUUGUCAGGAAGGCCACAGGGAGGUUAACUAACUCUGCGUAACCAGAAACAAUCCCACAUCAGACUGUUGGCAGUGGGAGUGGAACACUCAGAGCUGAACCGCAUGCAAGAUGGUUGCAUUUUCAUUUGCAAUGUCGUCAUCUUCCUCAUGGCUAAAGAGGUAUUUUGGAGUUGACAUGAAGGCUACUGUAAUUUUUAGAGGCAUUUUCUUUCUGGCCUGUAUUUACAUAUUGUGGUAGAAGAGUCAGAAGACUUCAAGCUUCAAAAGUGAAUCUUGUUGCGAGUUACAAAAGCACCACCCGGUGGGGUGCAGCUCUCAGCAUGUGUCACCACAGGCACUGUGAUUUCCCUGUCUUCAUCCAACUUUGGUUGCUGUUCUUCAUGCUCAGGAAUUCUGCAACUGCUGUAGCUUUUGCUGUUGUUAUGUCUGUAGGUAUGGACUCAUUUCUACCAUUCUGGAAUGAAACAUUAUUUCAAGGGAAGCUUCUCAUUGUAAAAGGUCCACACAUUCAGAAGGAAACUGGGAGUACAUUUUCUCAUAGGCCUGGAGCAUUAACUGACUAUGCAUCUUUCCCCUCAGUGUUGUCAUCAUGUUGUAAGGGGAUGAGUCAUGGACAACAUUUUCACACACAUACGUGAGGUCCAUUGACCAGUCUUUAGGACAACUAGAAAUCUUUUCUUUCUUUGUUUUAAAAAGGAAGACAAGUCAAGAUACAGCAAAUAAAAAUGCUCAGCACAUUUGCUGAAAUCUUAGCAAAAUCAAAUUACUAGUAAUUUGUUAAUCACACUAUACCUGUUUUGAGCCAAUCCUACUUAACCCACCCUCCAUCUUCCUCAUGCUUGCCUCCCUGGUGAACUCCUAUUUAUGUUACAAAGCUCAGUGUUUAUGUUACUACUUUUGUGCUAUUUCUGAACGUUAAAUGUACCUCUAUUAUAGAACAUAUCUCAUGGAAUAGUUAUUAUUGCAUAUCCACUGCCCUUGUUAGGCUGUGAGUGAGCUUUCUUUCUUUCUUUUUCUUUCCUUCCCUCCUUCCUUCCCUACUUCCUCCCUCCCUCCCUCUCUCCCUCCCUCCCUCUCUCCCUCCCUCCCUUCCUUCCUUUGCUCCUUCUCUCUUUCUCUCUUUUUCAUUUCUUUUCUUUUUUUUUAAAUUUGAGACAGGGUGUCACAAAUAUGAAUGGGACCUGUGAAUAUGAUGGCUGUCACUCUCUGAUUAGAUUACAUUAUAUGGCUAAGGUGAAGGAAUUCUGCAGAUGUAAUUAAGGUCCCAGAUGAGUUGAUAUUGAGUUACUCACAAAGGAGAUUAUACUGGAUGGCCCUACCUUAAUCAGGGAAAAGCCCUUAAAAGAGGACUGGGCCUUUCCUGAAGGAGGACAGUCCACUGCUGGCUUUGAAGCAGUAAGCAGCUGUGUUUUAAGGGGGCCUAUGGAGGGGCCCAUGUGGCAAGGUCCUGAGGGUGGCCUCUAGGAGUUGGCAGCAGUUCCCAGCCACUGGCUAGCAAGAAAACAGGUGGUUCAGCCACAUAGCCACAAGGAAAUGAAUUCUACCAACAAUCCAAAUGAGCUUGGAAGUGGAUAUUUUCCAUGGUCAAGCCUCCAGACGAACACCUUAACUGUAACAUAUGAACAGCUGAGCAGAGGACCUGCUUCAGCCAUGCCUGGACUCCUGACUUGUGGAAACUGAGAUAACAAAUGUAUAUUAUUU
RNAcentral lists this long non-coding RNA (2315 nucleotides) under Homo sapiens (human). RNAcentral describes it as "non-protein coding lnc-WDR70-7:13". The record is from RNAcentral. Lineage: Eukaryota; Metazoa; Chordata; Mammalia; Primates; Hominidae.